This is a long non-coding RNA of Solanum stenotomum, 862 nucleotides long. RefSeq lists it as uncharacterized. Lineage: Eukaryota; Viridiplantae; Streptophyta; Magnoliopsida; Solanales; Solanaceae. The transcript has 3 exons. The record is from RefSeq and is a predicted model, not a curated record.
ACCAAAUGAACAAAGAUAGUGGAGAGGUCACUGUAACAUAUCUUGAACAUAGCUGCUGGAAGAAGCAGAUCAUGGAAGAAGACAAGGUUGCUGUUAUUUUCUGAUCCCCGGAGGAAGCACCAUAAUUAAGCGUGUGAGCUACUUGUCGUCGUCCAACCCCUGGAGAAAGCACCGCUAUCAAAGAUAAUCUCCAUCUUCACUUCUAGCUGAAAUGAAAAGAAAUUCACCCUUCUCUAUCUCGCAAUAGGAGCUAGGAACGUCAGAGCUUCAAGAUCGAUGAGUGUUCUCUAUGCAGACGACAUAAAAGAUCUUACUUCAGGUAUUUUCCUCUGGAUAUGUCAUUGUCAAUCUCGAAGGUUGAAUCCAUAAAAGAUUGAUUCUCAGGUUCUUCUUUGUCUCGUGCAUCACGACUCUCUACUAAUUCUUGUAUUUUAUCGAAACCUUGUUGUUUUGCAGAGCCACAUGUACCCAAACAGUUCCCAGGGCUUGCUGAUUGGUCGGUAUCAUGAGUUGGUAAUAUUGCUCCAAAGGAUUUUGUAACCCACUCCUUUGAAGUCAUGUUCCCGUCAUCUUUAUCUUUUUUAUUAGCUUCUACAUCAAUUGUCUUUUCGACUUUACCAUUUGUUACCAUUGCUUGUAUCUCCUCUUCUUGAUUAAGUGCUUGAAAUUUGUUCGCCACAUUAAUGGGGAGUGUGUUGUCCCUAUUGACUAGUUUGCGAUUGUCUCGCACAACAUUCCACUUCCCUGGAUCCCCCACUAUUUUGUCACUGGAAAGGACCCUAGCUUUUCCUUUCUGAAAUGUAUGCACCUGUUGCUUCUGCGUUUCUUGCGAAUGGUCCGAUUUCGGUGGCUUUUCUAUACU